Molecule: transfer RNA, 75 nt
Filed under: Gammaproteobacteria bacterium
Lineage: Bacteria; Pseudomonadati; Pseudomonadota; Gammaproteobacteria
Description: tRNA-Val
Rfam family: tRNA
About the family: Transfer RNA (tRNA) molecules are approximately 80 nucleotides in length. Their secondary structure includes four short double-helical elements and three loops (D, anti-codon, and T loops). Further hydrogen bonds mediate the characteristic L-shaped molecular structure. tRNAs have two regions of fundamental functional importance: the anti-codon, which is responsible for specific mRNA codon recognition, and the 3' end, to which the tRNAs corresponding amino acid is attached (by aminoacyl-tRNA synthetases). tRNAs cope with the degeneracy of the genetic code in two manners: having more than one tRNA (with a specific anti-codon) for a particular amino acid; and 'wobble' base-pairing, i.e. permitting non-standard base-pairing at the 3rd anti-codon position.
Source: RNAcentral
GGGCGAUUAGCUCACCGGUAGAGCACUCCCUUCACACGGGAGGGGUAGCAGGUUCGAUCCCUGCAUCGCCCACCA